Molecule: long non-coding RNA, 1544 nt
Organism: Mobula hypostoma (lesser devil ray)
Lineage: Eukaryota; Metazoa; Chordata; Chondrichthyes; Myliobatiformes; Myliobatidae
Exons: 4
Source: RefSeq, a predicted model, not a curated record
UCAAAUGAAUCAAGGGCAAUGGAAGUAGGCAAACAAACUGUCUUUGUUCUUGCCACAUGCUGAAAGGAGGUGGAGGUGGCCAUUUUGUGAGACUGUCCUUGCACACCCUCCAUUUUGUGAACUCUUCGAUUCUAGCUCUGGGAUUAUCUAAUCAGAGCAAUUGAAUGUGGACGUAAGGAGUUUCAGCUAACAACCGGCUAACCCGGGACCAUUCUCAGACAAGCAGCUAUUUAUAAUGUAAAGUGGCAGACUUGGAGAAGAAAUCUACAACCUCAUUAGGCUCAGUGCCUGGGUCAGCUACCUUAACUGGUUUGAACCAAGCCGAGUUGAAAAAAACAAAGGCACGGAUCUGGGGGCAAAGACCAUUGAACAAUGCUGGCUGGAGCCCUGGACCAGAGCCAUUAAGAAGGUGACCCAGGUCAAUUGGUGGCCACUGGGAGGUCCUGUUUUUCUCUGGUGGAUGGACUGUAGGUGCUCGUUGAAGCGGUCUCCCAAACUGGGCCGGGUCUCUCCGAUAUACAGGAAGCCACACCAGGAGCACCAGAUACAACAGAUGACCCCAACAGACUCACAGAGGCGUGCGUACCUUCAUCAGCCAGGGUUUCAAGGUGUGGUCCAGCAGGAUGUCAAAGCCGAGGAGUUGAAAGCAAGCACUCCCAGACACGUGAUUUCGGAAGCAGGUGAAAUCCAUGGUUCUUGCUGGACACGAAAUACCAGAUUGGGAUGAUCCCAACCAGCGGGACAUCCUGAGAGAUAAUCCAGUCCAGGUACAUUCCCCGUGGCAAGGGACGUAUAAUUGACUCCUGCUCAUUAUUGUCAUUAUUUAUUGAUCAUUAAUAAUGACUCCUGUCUGCAGAUUUGAAUGAGAGAGUGUUUAGCAUUGUCUUUCCACUCACUUUUAUCUAUUUUUUCAGUCACGGUCCAGUCAGUUGAUUCCUCAUUUCUGUUCAUUUCCUUUUCCCCGUGUUUUACCUGGCUCCUUGACUAAGGCACCUGAUUCUCAUCUGAACUGGAAACAUAAUAACUCCGGCUUACAUCUACUUGGGACUGGACCGUCACCUCAGCCAGUGCGGCAAAGCACGUUCCGGGCCGCUGAGAAUAGUGGACUCUAAGUUGCCUCGGUGCCUGGGGUUGCUUUGGGAAUUCUGUCGUCUCGUGUCCAGCUGAGUGUUGCUGUUUGCCGCUAUUUCGAGUCAAGAUACGAACAGACUGUCGUUGUUUGGUUUUGUAGUUUCGUGUCCUGCUGAGUAUUGCUGGCCGUUUACUGCUACUCCGAAUCAAGAUACAAAUUGUCUGUCGUUGUUUGGUUUUGUUGUUCUGUGUCCAAGUCCAGGCUCCGUGUCCAAGUCCGGGCUCCGUAUCCGAGUCCGAGUCCGAGUCCAAGUCCGGGCGCCGUGUCCCAGUCCGAGUCUGAGUCCGAGUCCAGGCUCCGUGUCCAAGCUCCAUAACCAAGCUCUGGGUCUGGGCUACUCCAGUUUGUUGGCCAUGUAAGCAUCUAAUCCUCACUCUCUGGCCUUCCUCGCAACUAUUAAUAAACACACUUC